GUUAAAAGUCAAAAAAUGACCUGUUAAACGUGUGAGCAUGAAAUCCAUCAUUAUGGUAACGGCGACAGGAACACUUUAUUGAAGGCGCAGGGCUAGUGUCCUUCACAAGCAUCGAUUCCUGCAAUCCUCAUAAUCACCUACAGAUCGUCGCUGUUCCAUUUAUAGAUGAAGACGCUCGGGCUUGGAGAGUCCCAGAGUCACUCAGGGAGUGAGUGUCAGGAGGAUGGAGGUUCCAAAGUCAGACUCUGCAGACCGCCCCCCUCCACCGCCCCCCCUAGAGAUGGCUCCAACCCAUGUGCAGAAUGGUCCCAGACUCCCUGCCACCCACAUGCUUAAUGAGUGGCCUUACUCAGCUCACUUAACUGUGUGUGGCUUCUGUAAAGGAGGCCUAGCAACAUCCACCUCACAGAACGGCCAUGAAGUUAGACAACAAGUGUUUGUCACAUACAUAAGGGCGAUUCUGGGCACGAGACAGCUGUGACAGAGUUUAUCCUUGCCCUUCUGGCCUGACCUCUCGCUUGCUUGGAUUCUGGUCCCCUGAGCCGAUCUGCUAAAGCUCCUCUUCGCUGCUGGGCGUGGGGAGAGAAUGGAGAUGAAGACGCACAGGCCCAAGCUGCUGGGUGCGCACUUUCCAGUAGGUGCCUUCCAGGCACCCGACGGUUGUCACCAAGUGCAGAGGCCACUGCCUCCCGUCUGGUCGUGUCUGAGCUACAGCUUCAUCAAAUACGUUUUUGAGGCCGGAAGAAAAUGUACAAAUAUGAACUGACUACUCGGUCCAGAUAGUUCGGACACAGGCAUGUUUGCUGUCCGCGAAAACCUCCAAGGUUGCAGGGGCAGAGCUCAGUGCUUCAUCUGUUGCGUAUGAACCCGGGGCUCAUCCCAUCACCUUCCCUCCUUCAUGCCCAUUGCCCAGUCACCCCGUCUGCUCACCCACCUCUCCUCCAGCAACCGAGAGGUCGUAUCGUUGAGCUGGGUCUG
Canis lupus familiaris (dog) is the source of this 978-nucleotide long non-coding RNA. RefSeq lists it as uncharacterized. NCBI's taxonomy places the organism in Eukaryota, Metazoa, Chordata, Mammalia, Carnivora, Canidae. The transcript has 5 exons. The record is from RefSeq and is a predicted model, not a curated record.